RNAcentral lists this ribosomal RNA (670 nucleotides) under uncultured Escherichia sp. RNAcentral's name for it is "bacterial SSU rRNA". It matches the Rfam family "Bacterial small subunit ribosomal RNA", at positions 63 to 722 of the family's 1533-position model. Lineage: Bacteria; Pseudomonadati; Pseudomonadota; Gammaproteobacteria; Enterobacterales; Enterobacteriaceae. The record is from RNAcentral.
CGAACGGUAACAGAAAGCAGCUUGCUGCUUUGCUGACGAGUGGCGGACGGGUGAGUAAUGUCUGGGAAACUGCCUGAUGGAGGGGGAUAACUACUGGAAACGGUAGCUAAUACCGCAUAACGUCGCAAGACCAAAGAGGGGGACCUUAGGGCCUCUUGCCAUCGGAUGUGCCCAGAUGGGAUUAGCUAGUAGGUGGGGUAACGGCUCACCUAGGCGACGAUCCCUAGCUGGUCUGAGAGGAUGACCAGCCACACUGGAACUGGGACACGGUCCAGACUCCUACGGGAGGCAGCAGUGGGGAAUAUUGCACAAUGGGCGCAAGCCUGAUGCAGCCAUGCCGCGUGUAUGAAGAAGGCCUUCGGGUUGUAAAGUACUUUCAGCGGGGAGGAAGGGAGUAAAGUUAAUACCUUUGCUCAUUGACGUUACCCGCAGAAGAAGCACCGGCUAACUCCGUGCCAGCAGCCGCGGUAAUACGGAGGGUGCAAGCGUUAAUCGGAAUUACUGGGCGUAAAGCGCACGCAGGCGGUUUGUUAAGUCAGAUGUGAAAUCCCCGGGCUCAACCUGGGAACUGCAUCUGAUACUGGCAGGCUUGAGUCUCGUAGAGGGGGGUAGAAUUCCAGGUGUAGCGGUGAAAUGCGUAGAGAUCUGGAGGAAUACCGGUGGCGAAGGC